This 589-nucleotide ribosomal RNA is filed under the name uncultured bacterium. RNAcentral describes it as "bacterial SSU rRNA". It matches the Rfam family "Bacterial small subunit ribosomal RNA", at positions 337 to 917 of the family's 1533-position model. The record is from RNAcentral.
UCCUACGGGAGGCAGCAGUAGGGAAUCUUCGGCAAUGGACGAAAGUCUGACCGAGCAACGCCGCGUGAGUGAAGAAGGUUUUCGGAUCGUAAAACUCUGUUGUUAGAGAAGAACGUUGUGUAGAGUGGAAAAUUACACAAGUGACGGUAUCUAACCAGAAAGGGACGGCUAACUACGUGCCAGCAGCCGCGGUAAUACGUAGGUCCCGAGCGUUGUCCGGAUUUAUUGGGCGUAAAGCGAGCGCAGGUGGUUUAAUAAGUCUGAUGUAAAAGGCAGUGGCUCAACCAUUGUGUGCAUUGGAAACUGUUAGACUUGAGUGCAGUAGAGGAGAGUGGAAUUCCAUGUGUAGCGGUGAAAUGCGUAGAUAUAUGGAGGAACACCGGUGGCGAAAGCGGCUCUCUGGACUGUAACUGACACUGAGGCUCGAAAGCGUGGGUAGCAAACAGGAUUAGAUACCCUGGUAGUCCACGCCGUAAACGAUGAGUGCUAAGUGUUAGAGGGUUUCCGCCCUUUAGUGCUGAAGUUAACGCAUUAAGCACUCCGCCUGGGGAGUACGGCCGCAAGGCUGAAACUCAAAGGAAUUGACGGA